GAUGAAGAACGCAGCGAAAUGCGAUAAGUAGUGUGAAUUGCAGAAUUCAGUGAAUCAUCGAAUCUUUGAACGCACAUUGCGCCCCUCGGUAUUCCGUGGGGCAUGCCUGUUCGAGCGUCAUCUACACCCUCAAGCUCUGCUUGGUGUUGGGCGUCUGUCCCGCCUCCGCGCGUGGACUCGCCCCAAAUUCAUUGGCAGCGGUCCUUGCCUCCUCUCGCGCAGCACAUUGCGCUUCUCGAGGGGCUACGGCUCGCGUCCAACAAGCACAUUUACCGUCUUUGACCUCCGAUCAGGUAGGGAUACCCGCUGAACUUAAGCAUAUCAAUAAGCGGAGGA
This 336-nucleotide unclassified non-coding RNA is filed under the name soil metagenome. RNAcentral describes it as "partial contains 5.8S ribosomal RNA, internal transcribed spacer 2, and large subunit ribosomal RNA". The stretch from base 1 to 120 matches the Rfam family "5.8S ribosomal RNA", at positions 35 to 154 of the family's 154-position model. The record is from RNAcentral.